AUGGAAGGUAACUGCAUGUCGACUGUUCAUGUCGAUCGUCCUUUAAAAUAUUUCUUCGAUCUCUUGUUUGAUCCGAUUGCUUAUUUUGCAGAGAAAAUGAGGUUGGCUCUGGAGAAGGACUUGGACCUUGCAGCUACGCAGAAGGAAGCUCAAGAUAAGACUGCCCUUGCAGACCAGAAGUUGGCUUCGGUCGGAGUGCUGGAAGAAGAAGUAAGCAAGAUGAAGUCCUCUCUCACUGAAUCCAGCCGCGAGGUCACUCAUCUGAAGAAGGAUAACAUGGCUCUGAAUGAGAAGCUGGAGUCCGUGGCUCGUAAGAGAAAUGAUGUGGAAUCCUAUCUGAGAACUCUUGCCAAGAAGCUCUAUCUUAUGCUGGAAGGUACUCCUUUUAAUCCGACUACUUUACUGCUUGCAAGUUAA
RNAcentral lists this ribosomal RNA (417 nucleotides) under Triticum aestivum (bread wheat). RNAcentral's name for it is "partial small subunit ribosomal RNA". The record is from RNAcentral. Lineage: Eukaryota; Viridiplantae; Streptophyta; Magnoliopsida; Poales; Poaceae.